AUCCUGAGAGGUGAUGCGUAGCCGUAGCGGCGAAAUCCAUGAUCCUAUGCUGCCGAGAAAAGCCUCUAGCGAGCUGGUACAUGGCCCGUACCCCAAACCGACACAGGUGGUCAGGUAGAGAAUACUAAGGCGAUCGAGAGAACUGUGGUUAAGGAACUCGGCAAAAUGCCCCCGUAACUUCGGGAGAAGGGGGACCAGUCCUGGCGACGACAUUUACUGUCUGAGCUGGGGUUGGUCGCAGAGACCAGAGAGAAGCGACUGUUUACUAAAAACACAGGUCCGUGCGAAGUCGUAAGACGAUGUAUACGGACUGACGCCUGCCCGGUGCUGGAAGGUUAAGAGGACCGGUCAGCCACUUCGGUGGCGAAGCUGAGAAUUUAAGCCCCAGUAAACGGCGGUGGUAACUAUAACCAUCCUAAGGUAGCGAAAUUCCUUGUCGGGUAAGUUCCGACCUGCACGAAUGGCGUAACGACUUCUCUGCUGUCUCAACCACAGACUCGGCGAAAUUGCAGUACGAGUAAAGAUGCUCGUUACGCGCGGCAGGGCGAAAAGACCCCGGGACCUUCACUAUAGCUUGGUAUUGGUGUUCGGUUCGGUUUGUGUAGGAUAGGUGGGAGACUGUGAAACUCGCACGCCAGUGUGGGUGGAGUCAUUGUUGAAAUACCACUCUGACCGUAUUGGACAUCUAACCUCGGACCAUGAUCUGGUUCAGGGACAGUGCCUGGUGGGUAGUUUAACUGGGGCGGUUGCCUCCUAAAAAGUAACGGAGGCGCCCAAAGGUUCCCUCAGCCUGGUUGGCAAUCAGGUGUUGAGUGUAAGUGCACAAGGGAGCUUGACUGUGAGACGUACAUGUCGAGCAGGGACGAAAGUCGGGACUAGUGAUCCGGCACCGGCAAGUGGAAGCGGUGUCGCUCAACGGAUAAAAGGUACCCCGGGGAUAACAGGCUGAUCUUCCCCAAGAGUCCAUAUCGACGGGAUGGUUUGGCACCUCGAUGUCGGCUCGUCGCAUCCUGGGGCUGGAGUAGGUCCCAAGGGUUGGGCUGUUCGCCCAUUAAAGCGGCACGCGAGCUGGGUUUAGAACGUCGUGAGACAGUUCGGUCUCUAUCCGCCGCGCGCGUAAGAAACUUGAGGAAACCUGUCCCUAGUACGAGAGGACCGGGACGGACGAACCUCUGGUGUGCCAGUUGUUCCACCAGGAGCACCGCUGGUUAGCUACGUUCGGAAGGGAUAACCGCUGAAAGCAUCUAAGCGGGAAGCCUGUUCCAAGAUGAGGUUUCUCACCACCUAGCGUGGUUAAGGCCCCCCACAGACCAUGGGGUUGAUAGGCCAGAACUGUAAGCACAGCAAUGUGUUCAGGUGACAGGUACUAAUCGGCCGAGGACUUAC
Molecule: ribosomal RNA, 1386 nt
Filed under: metagenome
Description: bacterial LSU rRNA
Rfam family: Bacterial large subunit ribosomal RNA
Source: RNAcentral